Hordeum vulgare subsp. vulgare (domesticated barley) is the source of this 445-nucleotide long non-coding RNA. RefSeq lists it as uncharacterized. The transcript is spliced from 3 exons. The record is from RefSeq and is a predicted model, not a curated record. NCBI's taxonomy places the organism in Eukaryota, Viridiplantae, Streptophyta, Magnoliopsida, Poales, Poaceae.
AUUCACAUAAAAUUCCAAUGAAAUCUAUUUUGAUAAACCAAUGGCAAGUUAUGUACUGCAUUGUUGACACUUUAUGCCUUUGCUAUGACUAGUGCCAUUCAUCAUAACUGUAGGAACACUUCCAACUACUGGUUAAAGCGUCUUUACUCUUAAAACAACAAAGGAUAUGAGUUUUAAGACAUAGUUUUCAACUUUUCGUAAGCAUCAUGUCUAGGGUGGAGAAGAGUGAUCUUGGAAACAAACUGGCUGUAAGAAGGCAAAUUGAAGGCUAAAGGAGUUGUCAGUUCCUAUCUGAAACAAUGAAGUGGAAUAGAUCCCUAUGGAUGAUACGCAGUCGUGAAUGCUCAUGAAGGGCCAAGUGUUUAGUAGUACUUCUACUACAGAGGGGAAGGCAUACAAUUAAACAUUAGCAAAUUACUCCAGAAACCUACCGAAAAUGAAGUAG